RNAcentral lists this long non-coding RNA (400 nucleotides) under Dromaius novaehollandiae (emu). Its description in RNAcentral is "lncRNA (ENSDNVG00000004259.1)". The record is from RNAcentral. Lineage: Eukaryota; Metazoa; Chordata; Aves; Casuariiformes; Dromaiidae.
UGUGACAAAUCUCAGUCAUCUCUAGAGAGAGCAGGUUCUUGUCAAGGAAAGGAGUGGAGGAGACCGAAUGCCAACAGCCAGAAGAUCUYUAGAGGGAACAGCAAGUCUUUCUGUCAAGAAAACCCCUUUCUCUGUGGACUGUUGGAGGACAAGAAUAAGACAGGCCCCGUUCCACGCACCCCACAGUAAGAGAGAUGAACCAACUGGUUGGUAAGAACCAGCUGAAGAGUGCUCAGAGAAGAGUGGUGAGAAACAAAGAGAUGUGGAAAUUUCCCAUGAAGAGAUUUGUAUAGCAUUGUGGUUGCUUAGAUGUGAGAAGAUUGUGGAGGGGGCACUGCAGCAGUGUUCAAGCAAAAAUAUUGUCUAAGUCCAUUAUGAAUAAAUUGUGAAGAAAAUUACA